Molecule: long non-coding RNA, 532 nt
Organism: Xenopus tropicalis (tropical clawed frog)
Lineage: Eukaryota; Metazoa; Chordata; Amphibia; Anura; Pipidae
Exons: 4
Source: RefSeq, a predicted model, not a curated record
UUUUAUUACUGCAGCAGUGAGACUUCCGGAAGCUUUCUCUGUUGGUUCCAAGUUCCGGCCUCUGCCUUGUAUUGUGAAAAAGAAGAAAUCGGUAGAAGGAGGGUCAGAUUGGAGGGGGUUCUCUGGCCUCUGCUGCAGCCACCGCCCCACAUUCAUCCUAACAACCUUGGGCAGAAAACCAGAAAAAUACAAUUACCAGAAAAGGUAGAAACCAUCUCAGACACAGGGGGAAGAUAGAAUCUCCUAGAGCUCCAUGAGGCGUGAGAACCUUGCUUCUGGGGCAGCAUUGCUGAGGCGGGGCAAUGACCAGACGUUGGACCUUCAUGGAGCGACUCGGUCAAAGGUUGAACCUUUUGAGAGGAGCUUGAACUGAUAAUUCUGACUGGCUGAAAAGCACUGCCCUAAGGCAUUUCUGGAGUUAAUGGACUGCGUAUUCCCCAUUUUCCAGCAACAAUAUGGCAUGUGUGGAGUUAAUGGAAUGCUAAUUGCCCUUUUUCCAAGGAUCGUACCGGCAUGUGUGGAGUUAAUGGAA